Molecule: non-coding RNA, 45 nt
Organism: Schistosoma mansoni
Lineage: Eukaryota; Metazoa; Platyhelminthes; Trematoda; Strigeidida; Schistosomatidae
Source: Rfam
AUCCAACUGACGAGUCCCGAAUAGGACGAAACGCGCAUCCUGGAU